AUGAAUGUCGCACUCAUAUUGCGGUGGGUCUGGCGGAUUCUACGCGGCGAGGGCGACUUAUGGCUAUAGCUCAUUCAGGCAAAAUACCUUAGGUGUGAGGCUCUCAUGGUGAGUUCCCAUGCGGGAGGAUCACAGUUUUGGAGGUCCAUCCAAAAUAUCAAGGAGGACAUCCGCCUAGGGAUUUCCUUCUCCAUAGGGAAUGGGGGUAGGACCCAAUUUUGGUUGGACCUCUAG
Molecule: ribosomal RNA, 234 nt
Filed under: Triticum aestivum (bread wheat)
Lineage: Eukaryota; Viridiplantae; Streptophyta; Magnoliopsida; Poales; Poaceae
Description: partial small subunit ribosomal RNA
Source: RNAcentral